UGAGGAAUUUUGCGCAAUGGCCGCAAGGCUGACGCAGCAACGCCGCGUGGGUGAAGAAGGCCUUCGGGUCGUAAAGCCCUGUCAGGUGGGAAGAAAUGCCCGGAGCAAAUAGUAUCCGGGUCUUGACGGUACCACCAGAGGAAGCACCGGCUAACUCCGUGCCAGCAGCCGCGGUAAUACGGAGGGUGCAAGCGUUAUUCGGAAUUAUUGGGCGUAAAGCGCGUGCAGGCGGCCGAGCAAGUCUGAUGUGAAAGCCCCGGGCUUAACCUGGGAAGUGCAUUGGAAACUGCUUGGCUUGAGUACUGGAGAGGAAGGGGGAAUUCCCGGUGUAGAGGUGAAAUUCGUAGAGAUCGGGAGGAAUACCAGUGGCGAAGGCGCCCUUCUGGACGGUAACUGACGCUGAGACGCGAAAGCGUGGGGAGCAAACA
This 428-nucleotide ribosomal RNA is filed under the name uncultured prokaryote. RNAcentral's name for it is "bacterial SSU rRNA". It matches the Rfam family "Bacterial small subunit ribosomal RNA", at positions 355 to 774 of the family's 1533-position model. The record is from RNAcentral.